RNAcentral lists this ribosomal RNA (277 nucleotides) under uncultured bacterium. RNAcentral's name for it is "partial 16S ribosomal RNA". It matches the Rfam family "Bacterial small subunit ribosomal RNA", at positions 28 to 304 of the family's 1533-position model. The record is from RNAcentral.
GAUGAACGCUAGCGGCAGGCCUAAUACAUGCAAGUCGAGGGGUAACAGGAGUAGCAAUACUUGCUGACGACCGGCGCACGGGUGCGUAACACGUAUACAAUCUGCCUUUAACAGGGGGAUAGCCCGGAGAAAUCCGGAUUAAUACCCCAUAACAAUGGGUUUGGCAUCAAACCUAUUUAAAGCUCCGGCGGUUAGAGAUGAGUAUGCGUCUGAUUAGCUAGUUGGUGAGGUAACGGCNCACCAAGGCAACGAUCAGUAGGGGAUCUGAGAGGAUUAA